CAGUAGCCGCGGUAAUACCGAGGGUGCAAGCGUUAAUCGGAAUUACUGGGCGUAAAGCGUGCGUAGGUGGUGGUUUAAGUCCGUUGUGAAAGCCCUGGGCUCAACCUGGGAAUUGCAGUGGAUACUGGGUCACUAGAGUGUGGUAGAGGAUAGUGGAAUUUCCGGUGUAGCAGUGAAAUGCGUAGAGAUCGGAAGGAACAUCUGUGGCGAAGGCGACUAUCUGGGCCAACACUGACACUGAGGCACGAAAGCGUGGGGAGCAAACAGGAUUAGAUACCCCCGUAGUCCCUGUCUCUUAUAC
This 301-nucleotide ribosomal RNA is filed under the name uncultured bacterium. Its description in RNAcentral is "partial 16S ribosomal RNA". It matches the Rfam family "Bacterial small subunit ribosomal RNA", at positions 509 to 807 of the family's 1533-position model. The record is from RNAcentral.